Long non-coding RNA from Dromaius novaehollandiae (emu), 3748 nucleotides. RefSeq lists it as uncharacterized. The transcript is spliced from 3 exons. The record is from RefSeq and is a predicted model, not a curated record. Lineage: Eukaryota; Metazoa; Chordata; Aves; Casuariiformes; Dromaiidae.
AACACACAGACCAAAACCAAAAACGCACCCAUGCACAGAAUUAGACAACCCCCGGCACAGCCGCCCGAGCUAACGCCGCCGCGGAUCCGGGAGGGCUCCCCGACCUCCACCCCUCGCUCCGGCGCGCAGCCGGCAACCACCGUCUCGGGCUCCCCAGGCCGCCCGCGGCUCCCAGCGCCCCUGCGGCAGCGCCGCCAACAGCGCUCGCCGGCGCGCUCGGGCCCCCGUGCGCGGAGCGAAACCCAGCGCGCCAGCAGUUUAACGGGAAAAACACAGGGAACAGCGCAAGGGAGAGGAAAGUUCAAGGAAUCACUAAUCUUGAAAGACACUACUAUAAUGCAGAAUUGAGAUUACAAAUAUGGAGCUGAACAAAAAAAUUGUUGCUUUUUAUCACCACUGGGAAGCCUGGAUUAUUGAAGCUCACUCCAUGACGGCAGGAAGAGAACCCCAAAAUGAAGUUUCAAAACUGGGGGGCGGUGAAGAACUGCAGGAGUUUCACCGCCUUGAGUAAUGUUUUACCUUUGUUUCACUAUUUAUUCAUCACAAGUGAAACAUCUGCCACGAGACUUAACUUUCCAUGUUUUCAAGAAAGUCACAUUCAACACUCUCUUCAAGCUGUUGCAAGAUCUUUAUGCCAUUACUGCCAAGGUAGUCCACAGAGAGAGAUGCAGAAGUGUGAGAAUUCUGGGACUCACUCCCCUUUGCUGUAAAUGCAUAACAUAGAGUCUUGAAGAAGGGUACAAGUUGGGUGAUGCUAGAUAUAGAGUGGAAGUCCAAAAGAGGAAACUUGUGCCUUUGGGAAAUUCUCUCAUUAGUACUGUUGGUUUCCUGUAAGCACACAAAUCAAGAUUUACUUAGGGUUUUGCAUUAAGACAGCAUGUUCUUCUACCGCGUAUAGUUCAUUUGAACCCUGUACUAGACACUUGUUUUCAUACUGAGAGACCCAUAGCGUACAAUUCCACCAUGACAUCAAUUGUAUAAUUGGUAUACCAAGUUAUUUCUAUAUUCAGAUUUGAGUUGCCUUUAAAAGAAAGUCUUACAAGUUCAGAAGACUGCAAAUUCGGACUAGCCUUCAAAAUCAGAAUGAGACAUCCAACAACAACAGAAUAUGGAGAUUACAGAUAGCUUGUAACAGUAUCCCUGAGAAAUCCUAAUGCCUCUGUUCUUUUUUUCUAGAAGUAUUAAUGCUAAACCUUAAUGGUAAUUUAAAAUGCUAUAUGGUUUACUCUGCUAAAGAACAGCAUGCUCUUUUUAGAGAUACCUGUAUCGUCUGAGACAAAUAGUUUCUCACUUGGUGGUUAUGGGCAGAUUUAAGGAAGCAACAGGAAACUACCACUCCACAUCCAAAAGCAAUUUGGCAUCUACAAGAUACAUGUGUGAAAGCAGGCAGAUCAUUUUUAAAAGCCUGAGGAAUCUUUUAUUAUAUCUAAAAACCUCUUACCUACCUUACUUUUCUAAGCAAGUGACAAGAUUUUAAGUUAACGGAUUCCAUACAAAUAAAAUAUGAUUUAAGAGUAGUGUUCUUUCUUUACCCCAUAUUUCUUCUUUAGCAGAUCCAUGAUUCUUAUAAUGUGUGGUCUGCAUUCUUGAUUAUUUUCUAUCAGAUGAGAAUUCACCGUACAUGCCUCUGUGUCAAUCUCUGGGACAAAUGCCCAUUUGUACCUGAAACAAAUGGAUUACACUGUUAAGAAUACAGACAGAAGAAUUUGUUUCUUGGAUCAUACAUAGUAUAGUAGAGCACUAGUUUGUUUACAGUAACCAGCUGUCAUAACUUAUUUCAUGCUGCUACCAGAGCUGAACUUAAUUAUCAGGGAAGUUACUCUCAUCUCAGCACUGAAAUGCAAUUGACUCCAAAUAUUCCCAGGUGUGUGUGUAAGGAAAACAAAGAACAGCGUGCCUGUGUCCUUCUCCCAGUUCUCCCAAGUGAGAGGAGAAACUCCUAGUGAGGCUAGUGAAAUCUUCUUACAUUAACAAGACAGAAUUGUUUUUCAAAUACCCAAAUUGCAUUUGUCCUAACAUCUGUACUUGUAGAAAGAACGCAUGGCAAAAUUUUUUAUAGAACAAAAUAUAUAUGGAAUUACUUUAAAGAAUAAGGACAGCAACAAACUCCAGAACAGACAGGCAAUUAGAGGACUUACAUCUGAAAUAACUGCAUCCUGUCGGAUGGAAAUGAAAGUGCUGUAUCCAAAAAUUUACAAGCCGAUAAAUACAAGGACAGCUCAUUCUGCUGUAUGUCAGAAAGUAAGGAACCACUGCCAUCACCCGAUACUUUCUGUCUGCUUAUUUUGCUGUUGCUCCUGUGUUACAGUUAAGAAAUGCAUUAUUAAAACAUACAAAUCACAGAAUUGUCGAGGUUGGAAGGGAUUUCUGGAGAUGGAGUCUAACCCCCCCUGCUUAAGCAGGGUCAACUAGAGCAGGCUGCCCAGGACUGCAUCCAGAUGGCUUUUGAGUACCUCCAAGGAUGGAGACUCCACAACGUCUCUGGGCCACCUGUUCCACUGUUCAACCACCCUCACAGUGAAAAAGCUUUUCCUCAUGUUCAGAUGGAACUUCCCAUGUUUCAGUUUGUGACCACUGCCUCUCACCCUGUCAUGGGGCACCACUGAGAAGAGUCUGGUUCCAUCUUCUUUACGCUCUCCCUUCAGACAUUUAUAUGCACUGAUAAGAUUCUCCCUCAAUUUUCUCUUCUCCAGGCUAAACAGUCUACUGUCCACUAAAUGGUUUUCAUUCAACAAAAGGGGAAUGUACCUGUGCACACACAUUGAAAGCUUUAUUUUCAUUCUAUUAGCACUGAGAUUAAUAUAAAAGGCUAUUAGCAGAAACAUAUCUAAAAAAAAGGAAAAAACAAAACACUGUAAAAUAUUCAAAUGCUGAUUUAGCAUUUUUUCUAUUUUUUGUAUGCAACUAGUAAGCUUCCAUGUUAGAACAUAUCAUUAUUUUAGCUGCUGAAAAGAAUCCCUGAACUAAGAUUCAUCAGUGCCAGAAAUACGCAAGCACAAUUAGCAAAAGUUGUCAUCUCUCCCCUAUCCCAGAAAACGCAAACAUUGCAGCAAGAGAAAAAGCACAAUCAAUACUAGCUUUCACAAGUUCUUUAUCAGAUAAAUGGCAAUUCUUACUUUGAUGGUUCAUCUUCCUCAUUUAAAUCUUCUUCCAGCUGUAGAAACGUCUGAAUCUUUAAAUAAAUAAAUAAUUUAUGGGAACAUUAAAAUGUUCAUACAACUCAGGCACAAAAACAUGUUUCAUAUGGUAUGAGGAAUCAGACUUAGUUUACUCUAUGACUUGCAGCAAGCUAAGAAGUCAUGCAAGAAACUAUGUUAGCAAUAACAACAAAAAUCAAUCAAAAAAGAUAUUUCUUAAUGACAACAUUAAUUCUUUUCCCAAAUUAUCAAACUAAUGUAGAGCUACGAAAACACUUCCUUUUUCAAAUAGGGUGUACUUGGGAGAAAGGCAAAGGGGAAUGGGGAAAAAAGAAACGUUAACUAGUUUCAAGUUACUUAUUUCUUACCAGUUCAGUUACCAUAAUUGGCCACAAUGAGGUUAGAUGCUGAGGAGAAAUCCUUAACAAAAGAACUCUGAAGAAGAGAAACAUCUGUGCAGCAACUAUAGAAGUCUGCCCAACACGAAGGUUCUCAGUCAGUCGUUCUGAAACAAAGAUUAAAAAAAAAAAGUAUUGUUUUCCUGAACGUGCAUUAUUUUGGGAAAUCAAAAAUGUAGAAGAUGGCAGAAUAAAAUUUGUGUUUUAUCAUUA